Molecule: transfer RNA, 72 nt
Filed under: Xylariaceae sp. FL1651
Lineage: Eukaryota; Fungi; Ascomycota; Sordariomycetes; Xylariales; Xylariaceae
Description: tRNA-Thr
Rfam family: tRNA
About the family: Transfer RNA (tRNA) molecules are approximately 80 nucleotides in length. Their secondary structure includes four short double-helical elements and three loops (D, anti-codon, and T loops).
Source: RNAcentral
GCCCGCUUAGCUCAUCGGUAGAGCGCAUCACUAGUAAUGAUGAGGCAACUGGUUCGAUUCCAGUAGUGGGCA